Molecule: long non-coding RNA, 243 nt
Filed under: Ananas comosus (pineapple)
Lineage: Eukaryota; Viridiplantae; Streptophyta; Magnoliopsida; Poales; Bromeliaceae
Description: long non-coding RNA (ACOM_LNC021637)
Source: RNAcentral
AGUUAAAAUUUAAAUUUAGAAUUUAAAAUAUAAAAUUUAAAAUUUAAAACUUUAAAAAUAAAAAAUAUCAAAAUUUUAAAUUUUGAUAUCAAAAUAUAAAAUUAUAUAUAUAUAUAUAUAUAUAUUGGGAAAGAGAGUAAAGGAGGGUUUAAGAGGGUGACACGUGUCACUCUCUGGGCCUCCCAAACCCUCCUUUAAUGUAAUAAGAAUAGAUAUAUGGCCUUGCAUUUCUUGUCCGCAUUU